Non-coding RNA from Trichuris muris, 470 nucleotides. The record is from Rfam. Lineage: Eukaryota; Metazoa; Nematoda; Enoplea; Trichinellida; Trichuridae.
CACAUAAGGGAAGUCGGCAAAACGGAUCCGUACCAUCGGAACAAGGAUUGGCUCUAAGGGCUGAACCGGUCGGGCUGAUGCUUCGAUGCGUGUGUGGUGCGGUCGCUGGCUGCCGGUUGGAGGAGCGGUCCGUCCGCCCGGCGUUGGGCUCCCGUCGAUUGCUUGAGCGACUCUGUCGCGUUGGGCAUCAGCGAUUCGGAUGCGCUUCGCCGGAGCGCGGUCCUUCUGAAGCCGCAGACGGUAACGAAGCCUGCACGCGGACGACUUCAGCUGUGUGUGCUUGUCGGUAACUGACAAGCCACUUCGUCCGGCAUUGAACAGCCGACUUAGAACUGGCACGGACCCGAGGAAUCGGACUGUAUAAUUAAAACAAAGCAUUGCGACGGCUGGUGAUCGGUGAAGAAGAAAUGCGCAUUUGGAGCGAAGACCGAGGAUAUUUGAAGAAAUUUCGUGGUAAUUUCCGCUAUGUG